RNAcentral lists this long non-coding RNA (1059 nucleotides) under Mus musculus (house mouse). RNAcentral describes it as "long non-coding RNA chr17:3083927-3084986". Lineage: Eukaryota; Metazoa; Chordata; Mammalia; Rodentia; Muridae. The record is from RNAcentral.
CUCGGGGCUGAGGCAGGGGCAUGCCGGAGCCUACACUGACCUGAGAUGGCCGGAGAGAGUCUUCCUGUCCACGACCAGUGACUGCCUGCUUCCAAUCUGUGGUCCCCGGGCCAGCGGCGCUUGCGGCAGCAGCAGAGAGACUCUGGGGGGCUUGGCAGGAAGUCCCGCCCGCUCGGCCACAAUUGACGGCAGCGGCUUCCAAUCGAGAAGCUUCUCCACUCCCUGUUUCCAGGAGCAGGAAACAGUGCCAGAAGUCCCGCCUGCCCAGCCGUGACUGGCAGAGGCUUCCAAUGGGAGGCUGUAUUUCUUUCCCCUACCACCUCCGCCCGUAACUGACAGAGGCAGCGUCUGAGGCUUUUUUUUCCCCUCGAUAAAGGAAUGCAGAGGCUUUAGGUCCACGCUGCGCGGUGGGCGGGGGCCUCAUCCGGAGGGGCGCUGCGGGCAGAAGACUGCAGCCGCCGCAGGCCCCGCCCAUCACCCGUCGAUGCUGUCAGCCCCAGGUUCCUGUCUCUGCUUUUCCCCCCGCUCCGUUCCCGCUCUCCCCCUACCUCACACACAGUGCAUGCUCAGUCCCUGCCUCAGAUCCGUGACUCGCGGUCACGCCCCUGCCUCAGCUUCCACGUGUCACGUAUUAUAAUCUAUAAAAAUAGUCAUAAAGUAAAACGCCCCCCGCUGCCCAUCGCGGGCAUGACCCCGCCUCAUGCUCACUCAGGUGAGACCCCACUAUGGUCUCCCGCGUCUCAGCUGACGCCGUCCCCGCCCAACCGUGGGGUCCCGGGAAAAGUCAGGGCGCGUACUGCCGCCGCCAUGACACCCACAGGCCAGCAGAGGGCGCCCUCGGCUCCCCUCACAGACGGCCCUGAGCUGUCUGCCCGCUGUGUGUGCGGGUCCCACGGGUGGGGGGCUGCGACCCCCAGGGAAGAAGAUGUCCACUCGCCGGGCCACCCGGGGUCCCCAGAGACUGAAACCGCCCCACCCCACCCCGCGGAGAGAUCCGCAUCUGCAGAGACUCGGGCGGGCGGGCGUGAUUUUUAUAUAAAAUAAAAAAAGUCUCGUGUG